UCUCGCCGAUAGGAGGGGUAACUACUGGAAACGGUGGCUAAUACCGCAUAAUGUCUACGGACCAAAGCAGGGGCUCUUCGGACCUUGCACUAUCGGAUGAACCCAUAUGGGAUUAGCUAGUAGGUGGGGUAAAGGCUCACCUAGGCGACGAUCUCUAGCUGGUCUGAGAGGAUGAUCAGCCACACUGGGACUGAGACACGGCCCAG
Molecule: ribosomal RNA, 206 nt
Filed under: uncultured bacterium
Lineage: Bacteria
Description: partial 16S ribosomal RNA
Rfam family: Bacterial small subunit ribosomal RNA
Source: RNAcentral